RNA transcript from Cucumis sativus (cucumber), 2245 nucleotides. It is a transcript of the gene named pentatricopeptide repeat-containing protein At1g80880, mitochondrial, with no coding region annotated. Lineage: Eukaryota; Viridiplantae; Streptophyta; Magnoliopsida; Cucurbitales; Cucurbitaceae. The transcript has 4 exons. The record is from RefSeq and is a predicted model, not a curated record.
AUAUACGUAGGUAUUCCUCUUUUGCACGGCCACUACUAAAAGGUUUAUAAACACAAUUGAGCUUCACUUUCCCCAAUAUAUAUAUAUUAAGGGAUUGUAAUUCAAAUUUUACCGCGCAGCGAAACUCCCUCUCUGUAUCUUCAGUCGUUUUUCAUGGUAAUCCAUGGCAAGCCUUUCUUCUAUUGCCAGAAGGCUCUGCAGAAUCCAUCCAUUGCCAUUCCAUCAUCUCCUUUAUCUCAACCGUUUACGUAUCCCCGAUUCCCCCUUUCAGGCAUUUCAUCAAACAUUUAGUCUGCAUUCUUUCUUCGCUCGUCAAUUCUCAGCUCUUCCAUCUUUUUCUCAAAAACUUGGCGACCCAUUUCUGUUUGACACAGGAAGAUUCCAAAACUAUCGCCAGAGUGACGCGUGUAAUGCCCGAUUCAUCGAAUUGUUCAAACGGGUCGCUCUUUUGCCAUCGGAAGUGGAGGCUGUUGCUGCAUUGGACGAGUUUGAUGUCAAGGCAGAUUUGGAUUUGGUUUACUCGGCAAUUUGGGUGUUGAGGGAUGAUUGGAAAUCGUCCCUUCUAGCAUUCAAAUGGGGUGAGAAAGUGGGAGCCAUUGAUGAAGAGAUUUGUAAUUUGAUGAUAUGGGUGUUGGGCAAUCAUAAGAAAUUCAGUACUGCUUGGUCUUUGAUCAGAGAAUUGCACGGAUCCUUGCUGAAUUCGAUGCAAGCGAUGCUUGUCAUGAUUGAUAGGUAUGCAUAUGCAAAUGAGGCAAGUAAGGCUAUUAAGACAUUCCACAUGAUGGAGAAGUUCAGAUUGACACCGGAUCAAGAGGCUUUUCACGUGCUUCUCAAUUCUCUCUGUAAAUAUGGGAAUAUCGAAGAAGCUGAAGAGUUUAUGUUUGUAAACAAGAAGCUUUUUCCUUUGGGAACAGAAAGCUUUAAUAUUAUUCUCAACGGUUGGUGCAAUGUAACUGUUGAUGUGUUUGAAGCAAAGAGAAUUUGGAGAGAAAUGUCUAAAUGUUGCAUUUUACCAGAUUCAACUUCUUAUACCCACAUGAUUUCCUGUUUUUCGAAGAAUGGGAACCUUUUCGACUCGCUUAGAUUCUAUGAUCAGAUGAAGAAAAGGGAUUGGAUUCCAAGCGUCGAAGUCUAUAAUUCUUUAGCUUACGUGUUGACCCGGGAGAAUUGCUUCAAUGAAGCUCUCAAAAUCCUUGAGAAAAUAAAAGAAGUGGGCUUGCGGCCAGACUCCACUACAUACAACUCACUUAUAAGUCCUCUGUGUGAGGCGGGAAAGCUGGACGAAGCAAAAGAUGUACUGACCAUGAUGACUGAGGACAAUAUCAGUCCGACGAUCGAAACCUACCAUUCUUUUAUUCAGGCUGCAGAUUCUAAAAUGAGCUUUGAACUUCUUAAGCGGAUGAGACAAGAUGGUUUGGGUCCUACAGAGGGUACCUUUCUUAUCAUGUUUAAUAAGUCAUUUGAAUUAGAAGAACCGGAGUAUGCAUUGAAUGUGUGGGUAGAAAUGAAGCGGUACGAGGUAUUUCCGAGUUGUGAACAUUACUCAGUCUUGAUACAAGGCCUUGCAACAUGUGGUCACUUAAAAAAGGCCAGGGAAUUAUAUGACGAAAUGAUAUUACAUGGAUUUAUCGCACAUCCAAAGAUUAAAACGCUUCUGAAGGAACCAGAUUUAGGUAGCAUUGACGAAGCAAGGCAGCAAGUGAGACACAACAACAAAGGUAAGUUCAUUCCUCAUAGGAAAGGGAGAACGAUGAGGUGGAAAUCACAUAAACAACGAUCUAAAGGGGCUGCAUCAUUUGAAUAGGAUGACUUAAUAAUCUUGCAGCCCAUAUAAAAGUUAGAUAGAUUUCUGAUUGAAUGAUGGGGGAGGAACAAGAACUCAUUGUGGAAGCAGGUGAAAAAGCAUUCCUUCCUUCGCUUUGGCACAAAGCUCGAAGAGAACACUCGCAUGGGCUAGAGAAAAGAUACGACAUCGUUUUCCUUUUUUUCUUUUUCCUCUUUUGAAGGUAUAAGCUGUUUGGCCUGGCAGUUGGAUGAUCGAGAAAGUUUAAUUCUCAGUUGUCCUUUUUGUAGCUUCAUUUGUUGGAAUUGGCCACACUAUAAAAGGUUAUAAAUUCUCACCAGAAGGGCAACCUUUUCAAGCAUGGACACAGUUUUAAGGAUUUUUCUUUUCAUUGGAAAGAUAAUUAAGAGAAUAUUUCUUGUUUGUAUAAAUUAAAGUUGGGAAGUUUUUGUUUGGAUCUUA